This 453-nucleotide ribosomal RNA is filed under the name Facelina sp. D LC-2013. Its description in RNAcentral is "partial 16S ribosomal RNA". It matches the Rfam family "Bacterial large subunit ribosomal RNA", at positions 1797 to 2597 of the family's 2925-position model. Lineage: Eukaryota; Metazoa; Mollusca; Gastropoda; Nudibranchia; Facelinidae. The record is from RNAcentral.
CGCCUGUUUACCAAAAACAUAGCCAUAAGAUGAUAUUUUUGGUUCAACCUGCCCAAUGUGAAAAUGAAUGGCCGCGGUACUCUGACCGUGCUAAGGUAGCGUAAUCAGUUGGCUUUUAAAUGGAGUCAGGUAUGAAUGGGAGAACCUGGUUCAGCUGUCUCUAAAUUAAUAAAUUGAAUUUACUGUUUAAGUGAAAAAGCUUAAUUUUAAUAAAGGGACGAGAAGACCCUUAGAAUUUUUUUUAAAGAAAUUUUAGUUUCUAUGGUUUUGUUGGGGCGACAAAGAAAGAAUUAAAACUUUCUUUUAAUUGACUUGCCGAUUUUGUUAAGAAAGAAUAAAUUACCUGAGGGAUAACAGCAUAAUUCUAAAAUUGAGUUUGUGACCUCGAUGUUGGACUAGGAAACUAGCAGGCUAGCCGUUUGCUUUGUGGGUUCUGUUCGAACUAAAAUUCCU